This 510-nucleotide ribosomal RNA is filed under the name uncultured Pseudomonadota bacterium. RNAcentral's name for it is "bacterial SSU rRNA". It matches the Rfam family "Bacterial small subunit ribosomal RNA", at positions 355 to 874 of the family's 1533-position model. The record is from RNAcentral. Lineage: Bacteria; Pseudomonadati; Pseudomonadota.
UGGGGAAUAUUGCGCAAUGGGCGAAAGCCUGACGCAGCCACGCCGCGUGAGUGAUGAAGGCCUUCGGGUUGUAAAGCUCUGUCGGGAGGGACGAAGGGGAAACCCUGACGGUACCUCGCAAGAAAGCACCGGCUAACUCUGUGCCAGCAGCCGCGGUAAUACAGAGGGUGCAAGCGUUGCUCGGAUUUACUGGGCGUAAAGCGUACGCAGACGGUGAGGAAGGUCGGAUGUGAAAGCCCCGGGCUCAACCCGGGAACUGCAUCCGAAACCGCCUCGCUCGAGUAUGGGAGAGGGAAGCGGAAUUCCUGGUGUAGAGGUGAAAUUCGUAGAUAUCAGGAGGAACACCGGCGGCGAAGGCGGCUUCCUGGCCCAUUACUGACGUUCAGGUACGAAAGCGUGGGUAGCAAACAGGAUUAGAUACCCUGGUAGUCCACGCCGUAAACGAUGUGUGCUGGAUGUCGGGGUAUUCACCCCCUCGGUAUCGAAGCCAACGCGAUAAGCACACCGCCU